CCGAGAAUAUUCGACAAUGGGCGAAAGCCUGAUCGAGCGACGCCGCGUGCAGGAGGAAGUCCUUCGGGACGUAAACUGCUUUUAUAGGGGAGGAACGCAAGUGACUGUACCCUAUGAAUAAGGACUUGCUAAUCUCGUGCCAGCAGCCGCGGUAAUACGAGAGGUCCAAGCGUUAUCCGGAUUUACUGGGCGUAAAGGGUGCGUAGGAGGAUUUGUUAGUCUCUCGUUAAAGCUCCCGGCUUAACCGGGAAAAUGCGAGAGAUACGGCAAAACUUUGAGGAUGCCAGAGGCAAACGGAACUCACGGUGUAGGGGUGAAAUCCGUUGAUAUCGUGGGGAACACCAAAGGCGAAGGCAGUUUGCUGGGGCAGUCCUGACUCUGAGGCACGAAAGCGUGGGGA
Molecule: ribosomal RNA, 400 nt
Filed under: uncultured bacterium
Lineage: Bacteria
Description: bacterial SSU rRNA
Rfam family: Bacterial small subunit ribosomal RNA
Source: RNAcentral